AACGAACGCUGGCGGCAUGCCUAACACAUGCAAGUCGAACGAGACCUUCGGGUCUAGUGGCGCACGGGUGCGUAACGCGUGGGAACCUGCCUUUAGGUUCGGAAUAACUCAGAGAAAUUUGAGCUAAUACCGGAUGAUGUCUUCGGACCAAAGAUUUAUCGCCUUUAGAUGGGCCCGCGUUGGAUUAGCUAGUUGGUGGGGUAAAGGCCUACCAAGGCGACGAUCCAUAGCUGGUCUGAGAGGAUGAUCAGCCACACUGGGACUGAGACACGGCCCAGACUCCUACGGGAGGCAGCAGUGGGGAAUAUUGGACAAUGGGCGAGAGCCUGAUCCAGCAAUGCCGCGUGAGUGAUGAAGGCCUUAGGGUUGUAAAGCUCUUUUACCCGAGAUGAUAAUGACAGUAUCGGGAGAAUAAGCUCCGGCUAACUCCGUG
RNAcentral lists this ribosomal RNA (433 nucleotides) under uncultured bacterium. RNAcentral's name for it is "partial 16S ribosomal RNA". It matches the Rfam family "Bacterial small subunit ribosomal RNA", at positions 29 to 507 of the family's 1533-position model. The record is from RNAcentral.